GUGUCACAGCGGGCAGGGUCUCGUUUGUGGGAUGGGGCCCUUCAGUCUUUCAACAAGAAUCCAAAAGUGAUGGAACGCCUGGGCGGAGGAAGCAGGCUGGGGCCUGCUCUGCCCGUGGAGAGAGGAGAGCCACCGAAUCCUGGCCCGGCCUUCAGGGCUUUCUGUGCCUUGCCGAAUCUGACGCCUUGGAAGGAUGCCUUAUCUGAUCUCUCCUUGGGAGCCUCCCUCCGCUCGCUCUGUGGGACUGAAGGGCUGGAGGCCUGUGCCAGUGUUAGCAAAACAUUUGGAGUCACCGAGCCUGCGACGAGAGUGGCACUGGAGCACUGGAGGUCGCAGUGCUGAGCAGGCUCUGCCUGCCUCGGCUCCCUGACCCUCAGCCAGUGUCCUCGGCUGUGAAGCAGAGGACAGACAGCCAUGGCAUGCUGUGAAUGCCCGACGUGCACCGUUGUAAUCUGUGCAGAGGCAGCAGUGAUGCCCAAG
This 480-nucleotide long non-coding RNA is filed under the name Heterocephalus glaber (naked mole-rat). RNAcentral's name for it is "lncRNA (ENSHGLG00100048207.1)". The record is from RNAcentral. Lineage: Eukaryota; Metazoa; Chordata; Mammalia; Rodentia; Bathyergidae.